This 77-nucleotide transfer RNA is filed under the name Escherichia coli. RNAcentral describes it as "tRNA-Met". It matches the Rfam family "tRNA". Rfam says of the family: Transfer RNA (tRNA) molecules are approximately 80 nucleotides in length. Lineage: Bacteria; Pseudomonadati; Pseudomonadota; Gammaproteobacteria; Enterobacterales; Enterobacteriaceae. RNAcentral also lists the same sequence under 4 other names. The record is from RNAcentral.
CGCGGGGUGGAGCAGCCUGGUAGCUCGUCGGGCUCAUAACCCGAAGGUCGUCGGUUCAAAUCCGGCCCCCGUAACCA